GCCCGUGUGGCAUAGUGGUUUGGGUGUUGGACUAUGACUCUGGAGACCAGGGUUCAAAUCUUAGCUCAGCCA
Molecule: non-coding RNA, 72 nt
Organism: Phrynosoma platyrhinos (Desert horned lizard)
Lineage: Eukaryota; Metazoa; Chordata; Lepidosauria; Squamata; Phrynosomatidae
Source: the annotation of a GenBank genome assembly